CCCUUAGAUGUUCUGGGCAGCACGCGCGCUACAAUGGUCUUCGCAAACGGAUGCAUUCUCGAAGGAGAAUGCCAAUCUUGGAAUCUAUGCCUUGGUCGGGACAGUUGCUUGCAAUUUUUCGACUCGAACCAGGAAUUCCUUGUAAUUGUAAUUCAUUAUAUUGUAAUGAAUACGUCCCUGCCCUUUGUACACACCGCCCGUCGCUCCUACCGAUUGAACGAUCCGGUGAAUUAUUUGGAGUAGCUCUGGAAGUUGCAGAACUUCCUAUGUCACGAAAUUUUGUAAACCUUAUCGUUUAGAGGAAGGAAAAGUCGUAACA
RNAcentral lists this ribosomal RNA (319 nucleotides) under uncultured eukaryote. RNAcentral describes it as "partial 18S ribosomal RNA". It matches the Rfam family "Eukaryotic small subunit ribosomal RNA", at positions 1470 to 1796 of the family's 1831-position model. The record is from RNAcentral.